UACGUAGGGGGCAAGCGUUGUCCGGAAUCAUUGGGCGUAAAGAGCGUGUAGGCGGCCUUUUAAGUCCUGCGUGAAAUCCUGCGGCUCAACCGCAGACGGUCGUGGGAAACUGGAAGGCUAGAGUGCGGGAGAGGAGAGUGGAAUUCCCGGUGUAGCGGUGAAAUGCGCAGAUAUCGGGAAGAACACCCGUGGCGAAGGCGGCUCUCUGGAACGCAACUGACGCUGAGACGCGAAAGCGUGGGGAGCAAACAGG
RNAcentral lists this ribosomal RNA (253 nucleotides) under uncultured bacterium. RNAcentral's name for it is "partial 16S ribosomal RNA". It matches the Rfam family "Bacterial small subunit ribosomal RNA", at positions 524 to 776 of the family's 1533-position model. The record is from RNAcentral.